CUCAUGUCUUGCUGAUAAUGUGACCAUCCUGAGACAGAAUGGAAUUGGAGCUGCAGAUAUGCAGGACUUUUACUCUAAUAGGAAGUGUUCUUUCCCCCGUUGUUUUCCCAAUCAAUACCUUAUCUCUCCCAGACAAGAAUAGAGUUUGGAGAUGGACUUGCUUACCCGUCUAAAGGAUGUGGAAUUGGAGAAUAAGUGAGCUAAUCUUGGAAGAAUUUUGCAGCAAAACAGGACAUUUCUCCAUGGAUCCAGAGGAAGUGGUAACUGAGGGUUUGAGCUGUAUAGGGAUCUGGCUUCUUCAUGGGUAUUCCUAGUGGAUGGCCUCAAGUCUACAAUAGAGACUGCUUGGCUGUCUGCAGUGGAAAAGACCUUCAAGUUGACUGUGAGUGGGUGCGACUCAUCAAGAAAAAUAACCUCACCACCACAACAACACAUGAUGGGAGAGACCGAAACUUCUUUGGGAGAACAUAAGGGGGAAAAAAAUAAAAGAAAAAGUGAAGUGUAAAUAUUAUUAAAC
RNAcentral lists this long non-coding RNA (517 nucleotides) under Mus spicilegus (steppe mouse). RNAcentral's name for it is "lncRNA (ENSMSIG00000028857.1)". The record is from RNAcentral. Lineage: Eukaryota; Metazoa; Chordata; Mammalia; Rodentia; Muridae.